Molecule: unclassified non-coding RNA, 210 nt
Filed under: uncultured Inocybe
Lineage: Eukaryota; Fungi; Basidiomycota; Agaricomycetes; Agaricales; Cortinariaceae
Description: sequence contains ITS2
Source: RNAcentral
CAAGUUCUCAACCGCAUCAAUUUCUGAUUGGUGUGGCUUGGAUGUUGGGGGUUUUUGCAGGCUUUCUUUCUUUAUAGGAGGAAAUCAGCUCCCCUGAAAUAGAUUAGUAGUAAUAUCUGAGGCUACUACAAAGGUGUGAUAAAUUAUCUAUGCCUUUUCAUAGUAUGGCCGACUGCUUCUAACGAACGAGUGGAAACACCUUUUUGACAA